UAUCUCUCUUUAGAUACGUACCUACUUGUAGGCAUCUCUCAAGGCUGAGUGCCUCAGCUCCUCUGCAUGGCGCUGAACCUGAAGCUCUUCAUCUGUUCUGCUCUGACAGUGUUAGCAGUACUUGGGGCUCCUUAUUUAAUGCCUUUUCUCCCCGGAGCGAGGGAGAGGAGGAGGAUGCACCAGUGUCUCCGAGCUAGAGGCAGGAGUGCUCUGUAGCUCCAGGUCCCUCAAUCAAUUGCGAGGGACUUUUUUUUUGUACACGUGUUAAUUACUUUAGCAUAACAGUACCUCGUGAACAGAUUUCCUAGGGCUGAAAGGGGAAUAGACUAGAAUAAGAUGUAAAAUUGCAGCAGCUGCUUUGAGGAGCUAUUUAGGGAUGUGAUGAAAAGCAUCGAAUGAAGUUGUUCAGGUUGGCUAGCUUAUUUUUCCUGCAUAACCAGUGACUUCUUCCUCUCCUGGGAAAUUUCCAUGGGGAUUAGAGGGGUAUUUGUUUUAGUGAUCUCCUUCCCCGUGGUCCUGGAGGCGACCGAGUGACUGCAGCGCACCGUGGGACCGAUUUGUUAUCUGCGGGUGGAUCAGGUGAUCCCUGUUUGUUUUCCCCAGUAGCUGCUUUUAAUUAGCAUCACUUAAAAUACAUUUCCAGCGUGUGCAGUAAUGAGAGCGCUGCUCUAGCACUCGGUCCUGCCUGAGCCAGGACCACUGUACCACGCGAUGGCACUGGUAGACACUGUCUUGUCCUGUCUAGCUUGCCUUUCUGGUAUGUUAGCUGUAGACUACAUUCCCAUUUACCUGCUCAUCUUCCCUCUGCUCUCCUGCUUCUGUUGCUAGCAGCAGUUGCCACUCCUUCCCUGCUCUGCCUGUUUGAGAUUUGCCACACCAGAUCUGUUUGCUUUGCUCAGGGCCGAGCUUGGGCAAGGUGGGGCUUCCAGGAGCUGUUAAUGAGGCAGGCUAUAUAAGCACUGGCCCUUCUUUGCAUAGAUUGUCCUGUCUUUAAUGGGCAUCAGCAACACCUGCUCCUGUUGCUCCUUUGCUGGGGUUUGAUGGAGACGGGGGUGUUUCUCUUUUUGGAAUGGCUGGCUGUGGGGGGUGGUAUUUUGCUCCCACUGAAGUCAAUGGCAGUAUUCCCAUAGACAUUGUAGGGGCCAGGAUUUCACCCAGUCUGCUUAACUGUCACUAGGCCACAGAUGUGGCUUGGAACGGGUGGCUCGGGAGCCUGAUCCUUCUGAGCCUGUCUCGGGUGCCAGGGUAGGACGAAAGAAUCACUGCAGCACAUCUGGCUGUGCUAGCCAGCAAAGGCAGAGCCGAAGGGAAGGGGUUUGAUGGGCUGCCCUCUGUCUCUAUUAUGGCUCAAGCUGGCUCUUGGCAGCAUUGAUUAAGAGCUGGCAGCGUGAGGCUGAGCUGCUGUAGUAGCAACUGUCUAGGGGUUUCAUGGCUGGUGAGACAGGAGCAAAGGGGCAUGGGGCAGGGAGCUUAGCUCAAAUACCUGGGUUCUGUCUGGUGAAUGUUUUAUCUACUGCUUUGAAAUAUUGCUGUGGAUUUUAGCAUGACCCAAACAAGUCAGGCUUUUCUUAAACAAGGCCCUGCUGAUUGCGCUGCACAGAGGCUACAACAAAGUGCCAAUGUGAAGUUAAACCGUUUAGUUUUGCUGCCCAUGCUGAAUGAAGUAACCAAGCAUGCAAGCAGGAAAUGGUAAGCUUGGCUUAAAAAAAAGCUCACUUCCUAAUCUUGUGUUUUUGAUGCGGAGGGUAGUAACAGGCCAGCUUUCAAUCUUGGGGUAUACAUCUUGGGUACUGAUUUUUGCUGGAUGUUCGCUGGAUUUACAGGGGUUAAGACUGAAAUUUGGACUCUGCACCUCUGCUUUCAGACCAUAGAGAAGUGGCAGGAUGAGCAGAAAAAUCCAGGGCCCAGCUUCUGAUCUGUGUUUCCCCUCUUUCCUGUGCACAGAGCAGCUCUGGUGAGGUUGGCAAAGAGGUUUGGAUUCGCACUUCCUGGCCUGAGACUAGACUUGUGUCCUGCAGUUCAGAGCCUGGCCACACGUGCUCUCUACAAGAAUGAAAGCGGUGUGAUUUGUGCUCUGAUCAAAGUGAAUGAUUAAGAAAAGUGAAGUGAACCCCUGUAACCUUCCUACUUAAAGGUUCCCUGCCUCAGGCAGUGUUUGAAGGAUCUCCUAUAACAACGCCUCUGAAAAGUGUCCUGCUAUAUUUCUUUUUUUUUUUUUAUAUAAAGAUUUGCUGGGGCCUGACACUUACCUGCAAAUAACCUGUAACUAUGAAUUCUUUUUAUAAAGUCAGUGCCUGGCUUGUUGUGUAUGGCAGGGAACCUAACUUCUUCCCAAGGGAGAGGUGCUGUGUGUGGCUCCUAGUCUAACACAGCAUGGCUGAAUUUAAUCGGAUUUCAUUAGCUGAAUGGGGGCUGGCUUGUUUAGAUGCCAGGUCUCUGAGAGCCCCAGGAGAUGGUGGAAGUGGUGUGGGAUGACGGACCUACCUUGGGGUUAGCAGCUGCUCUGCUGCUGGAGACUGUGUGUAAUAAGAUGCAAAAUAAAUGCUGUAAUGUUGGGUGGGGGAGAGAAGAAAACAAUCCCUGGGCACUUUUCUUCGAGUGUGUGAGCAUUAACCUAGGUGUCCUGGCCAAAUUUAAAUGCUGCUGUUUGCAUUUGCCCUGUCUACAGCUCCCCUUGUAUUUUCUCAGGUGAACAAAAUGUUCUUGUUGUCUCUGGUCCUGUUCAUCAGUUGCUGUUUUCCAUACCCAAAGUGGCUUGCACAUCAGUGCCUGUCAGAGCAGGUUCUGUUCUAUUCGUCAGCUGCUUUCGGAGUCUCCUGAAUAACGAGAUUGUGCAGAAAGGGUUAUUUGGCUCUACAUUAUGGCCCAGUCUCACCAACGCUGUCAUGCUGCAGCAUCCUCAAAGAUCUGCGUUAGUGAUGCCAAGACAUAUCAGCUUUGGACUUUUGCUAAACUGCCCCUGGUUCCUGCCUGUUAGGUUUUCUGAACAGUGACACAGCCCACCGUUCGCUAUAGCACUUAGUUCCAGUGCUGGAGAAGGAAGGAGCGAGUCUGUUUGUUUCUCUGGGCAUUGGUUGGAUUGGCUGUCAUCUUUACAUGCCCCAGUAACUGUUUUCUCCUCGUGGCCUAAUGCAAGAUAACUAGUGUUAAGUUCUGAAAUCAUUCAAGGGUCACCGGAGCUAGUUGCUGUUUCUCUGGCUGUUGCAAAGGGCAACACUUCCUCGGGAACAAGGCAGCUCCAGUUCUCAGUGUCCGGGCGUCGUUUAGACUAGGAAUAGUUAACUGCCUGAGUCAGGGUCAUUAUGUAAGCUGCAAUCUCUCUCCCUUUCUCUUUCAAAAUGCCAGGUGUCGCUUUCAAGACUCAGUGAUGAUCUCUAUGUUUUCCUUAUGGGUUUUAAUGAGAAUAGAGUACCGUCUUUAUGAACUGGUGCGUGCCUGUGAGAAAUGUAAAUGGGGAGCAGGCGUGUGUGCCAGAGCAGCUGAGAUCCUGAACCUGAUCAUGUUACAGUGUUUUGAUAUAUAUUUUUUUUAAUUUUUUUGUAAUAGACUUUGCAUCCGAGAGAGAGAGUUGGCUGAGUGGUUUUAUUAAAAAAACAACCCUGAAAUAAAGUGUGUUGGAGAUGCUUGUACGUUUGAUAUUAAAACAGCGUUCUUUCGUG
This is a long non-coding RNA of Alligator mississippiensis (American alligator), 3659 nucleotides long. RefSeq lists it as uncharacterized. The record is from RefSeq and is a predicted model, not a curated record. The transcript has 2 exons. Lineage: Eukaryota; Metazoa; Chordata; Crocodylia; Alligatoridae.